RNAcentral lists this transfer RNA (70 nucleotides) under Hutchinsoniella macracantha. RNAcentral's name for it is "tRNA-Gln". The record is from RNAcentral. Lineage: Eukaryota; Metazoa; Arthropoda; Cephalocarida; Brachypoda; Hutchinsoniellidae.
UGUGCAAACAUGAUUUAGUCCAUAAGAAAAUUUGAAUUUCUUCCUCUUAGUGCAAUUCUAAGUUACACAC